UUCCAGUGUCUUGAAGCAGAGUCCAGAUGUGGAACUCUCCUUCCCACAGCAUCCACAGAACUCCAACCUCUUUAGUGGUGUAAAGAGGGGAACGUUGUUUCUUAGUUCAUACCGGGUGAUUUUCGUGACUUCACGCUCAGUCAGUGAUCCCAUGCUGUCCUUUAUGAUGCCGUUUGAUCUGAUGAAGAACUGCACUGUUGAACAACCACUCUUUAAUGCCAACUACAUUCAAGGGACUGUUCAUGCAGCUCCAGAUGGUGGCUGGGAAGGACAGGCUACUUUUAAAUUAGUCUUCAAAAAAGGAGGUGCCAUCGAAUUUGCUGAGUUGCUGAUACAAGCUGCCGCUGCUGGUG
Molecule: non-coding RNA, 353 nt
Organism: Ictidomys tridecemlineatus (thirteen-lined ground squirrel)
Lineage: Eukaryota; Metazoa; Chordata; Mammalia; Rodentia; Sciuridae
Source: RefSeq, a predicted model, not a curated record